RNAcentral lists this ribosomal RNA (253 nucleotides) under uncultured bacterium. Its description in RNAcentral is "partial 16S ribosomal RNA". It matches the Rfam family "Bacterial small subunit ribosomal RNA", at positions 524 to 776 of the family's 1533-position model. The record is from RNAcentral.
UACGAAGGGGGCUAGCGUUGUCCGGAUUUAUUGGGCGUAAAGAGCGUGUAGGCGGCCCUGUAGGUCCGUUGUGAAAACUCGAGGCUCAACCUCGAGACGCCGAUGGAAACCAUGUGGCUAGAGUCCGGAAGAGGAGAGUGGAAUUCCUGGUGUAGCGGUGAAAUGCGCAGAUAUCAGGAAGAACACCCGUGGCUAAGGCGGCUCUCUAGUACGGUACUGACGCUGAGACGCGAAAGCGUGGGGAGCGAACAGG